UCACUGUUUUAGAUAGUCGCCCCAAUCUCUAUUUAACUAAGGUUAUUGUAGAGGGUGGGGAGGAAAGUCCGGACUCCAUUUUGGUCUCGUUUUUAAACGAGAUGAGUACCACUUUCUCCCUCUACUUCUGUAGAGGUGUCUAGGAGGUGGGUGGGUGUGAACUUACGGAUAAAAGGGCAACAGAAAGUAAAUAGCCACGCACUCAUUCGUGAAGGCGGGGCAAUAGUGAAAAGGUAGUGUAAGAGACUACCGGCAUUUUUGGUAACAAUAAUGUGCUUUGUAACCCCUACUCGGAGCAACUCCCGUAAAACGGGAGGCAUAGACAAAUGACUGUCUCAAUUGCGCAAAGCGCGAGGAUACAGAAUCCGGCUUACGAAACAGUUAAUCC
Molecule: RNase P RNA, 388 nt
Filed under: Candidatus Dojkabacteria bacterium
Lineage: Bacteria
Description: RNase P RNA component class A
Rfam family: Bacterial RNase P class A
About the family: Ribonuclease P (RNase P) is a ubiquitous endoribonuclease, found in archaea, bacteria and eukarya as well as chloroplasts and mitochondria.
Source: RNAcentral